Molecule: long non-coding RNA, 4828 nt
Organism: Gopherus flavomarginatus (Mexican gopher tortoise)
Lineage: Eukaryota; Metazoa; Chordata; Testudines; Testudinidae
Exons: 3
Source: RefSeq, a predicted model, not a curated record
UGUCACUCUGGCAUAACCCUAGGUAACUCGGGAGGGUGGUAGACCACAAGUGUCAAUGAAGCCCUCCUGUUGUAAGCCUCAAUGAACCAAUGUUCCUCCAUGUUAAACACUUUGUGUAACCUAGUGUAACCUAAUGUACUAAUAGCUGCAAAAAUGUAAUGUCAGCAGUUAGUUUUCUGAUUGUAACACCAAGAAAUAGUUCUCAGAAAGCAACUGGGAUAUAAAAGGAGGAAGCCGCUUGUGUAGGGGGCUGGAUCUGAGGCAUGCUAAGUCUCCCAGCACCACUUUGAGAUCUCAAAUAAACUUUGCUUGCUUCUCCAUCCUGGUGUGUUUAUUGGCGCUACGCACUCUGGGCAACGAACCACUGUUGCUUGCCUCCGGCACCCUCUGUGCCUGCAACAGUUUUGGCAUCCCUGGGUGGGCGGAGGCUAAAAUUAGCCUUGCCUGGAUGCCUCCUGGAGGUCAACGGAUUGCGGUGACGACCGACGCCCAGUGCACACCGGUGGCUUCACCGGGGGCCUCAGCGGAGACGCGAUGUGAGCGACCCCAGAGGGCAUAACGGUGCAACGCGCUCGAGUAGUGGAGAAGCAGUUGAGGGUGACGGUGAGGAACCGGUCCCUUGGAUAAGGUAGGAACAGUCCAGUGGUCCGGAUUUUUGCCUGCUAGGACCUGGGGACGCCCAGUGUCACCCUAGGAUAUGAGGCAGGAACAGAGUACAGGCAGGGCACGGUGUACACCCCUAGAAUGCAUUCUAGUGAAUUGGGAAGUGCUUGGAUCAGAUCCACUAACUAAAAGCAAACUAAAAAGUUCUGUAUAGUAGACUGGCCUCAAUAUUAACUAGAGGGUCAGGAAAGGUGGCCACCGGAAGGAUCACUUAAUUAUAACACGAUCCUCCAAUCACUCCUGUUUUGUCAGCGAAUGGGUAGCUUCUGAAGCUGUUUGUAUGAAGAACUCUUGUAAAAAUACCCCACUGUAGCUCCUAUUCUUCCCCCUGUCUGGCAGAGUGCAAGGAUUCAAAAGCAGGUUAGGGAUAGUGCAGGGAGAAAGGAGGGACCUGUCUAGAAAGGGGAGACCUUAUGUCCUAGUGCACUCUCUCCCUGUUGUAGCUAAAAAGCAAGAUCAGAUGCAGAGUGGUACUGGGGGCCAGUGUGAGUGACUGUUACCGGAAGACGCCCAGAGUACCCUGUGAAGCAAAAGCUCGUGACCAGGACUACUCUAACGCAAGCCCGGUAACUAGUGGAUCUUUAGGAGAUCCGACCCAUGGUGGGCUGACUCGGCCUGGCAUCGUCCGGUGAGGAAGCUGCCUUGGUCUAGGAGUGUGUGUACCCAUUUUCCCUCCCCCUUUCCUUUCCGUGUGGGCUACUGACAGUCUGAUCAUCUCACUGGAUGCAAUCAGAGUAAGCGGCGCCGUCUCCCAGAGACUAGCCGACGCUCUUUGCUGAAGGGAGGUGUAGGAGGGUCGUGGCCAUCCUCGUUAGCCUCUCCUGUGUGAGUGCCCUGUAGGGAAAAAUCCGUAGUUUAUGAGCCGCUAGCACGGACAGGGCACCAUCCCUGUGUGUGUAAGUGGAAAAUGGGUGGGGGACAGUCUAAACAUUCCAUCUCACCGCCUAAGGGUACCCCAGCAUAUUACAUGUACGUACAUUAUGGUUCAACAACCUGCAGGUAUUUAGAGAAUUGGAAUAUUUACACGCACGAAAAUCCAUCUAAACAAUGCCCACUAGAAGGUACUUCAAUCUAGAUAAGAUCAUACAUCUAAGAGGAGCGUUUAAUCACCAAAAAGCCCUGACACAGCGUGAGCAAAUUUGUCUAUUGAGGAAAGGAACGGGUUAAUUUAAAAAUCAUCUUGGCCCAGGGAUAGAAGGGGGGGGGUUGCUCUGCGUUCAGGAUCAGGAAUUGGCGCGGACUGUGCUUGGUGCAGGGAGGGGCUGCUUUCGGCCACAGCUGGCUGUGAAGGAAAAAAUAUAGACAGAGGUGAACCAAAGGAAAUACAAGUUACAGAACUGAGAUUACAAUUGCAAAGCUUAACUGUCCAGUAAGAUCCAACGGUGUGCCUUUGUGACCCUGGAGUCGGUGUAGCUUGGUGACACCAAAGAAGCCACAGGCAGCCGACCUGGACUGGAAUCUCUGAAAGAGACGCCGCAGGAGAUUCCAGGGUGUAAGAGAACAGCCCUCCCAAGAGCAGAAGCAUGUUGGAAAUUCUGGACAAGCUGUAUACAGGAUAAUCCCCUGUCCACCUCCCCCUCUUCUCUGAACAUUAUACACAGAAGUGACCAGUCUGGACGUAUGUGUGUGAUGUGGGCGGAACUGAACCUCUCGUUCGUAAUUCCUCUGAGUGGAAGCCAUGCGUGCAAGGAAGCUCUGAGGUUGAACUGAGAUCCUUCUGUCCCGUCCCCUGUAGCGGUCAGUGUAUAGAAGUGGGAAAGUCUGGCUUAGACUGCAAUUCCCUCUGCGCUCUGGGUAAUUCUCUUUUCUGUUUAAGUGUCAGCAGACAGAUGGGUGGGUCUCUAGGUAAACUCUCUAAAGGGGUUUGGAUUAUAUGUAAAGUAAAUGGCCUUUGCCCAAUGGGCCAUGUGUUUUUGUCCAGGUGACAAGCCUCAUGAAGGAGGACUCGGGUAGUCUUGUGAGUAAGAAUGUUUAAGGGAAGAGACCAGGAGGGGUGGGGGCUAGUUAAGAAGCCCACCCUCCUAGCUAAACUGGUAGUGGAACAAGUUGGUGCCCAUGGAAGGGACGGUUCAGCAAGAAAAGCAGGAUUGGGCCCAGGCAGGCAGGCAACAGAGAGAGAGAUUGGAAAGCAGGUUGGAAAACUUUAAGGGUGUAGUGGAAGGAAGGAAUCAGUAAGUGUAAGCAUGGGGAUUUCAAAUACCCAGGACUUACUUGGAAUAGUGAUUUAAGUUGAUAAAAGUAGCUGUUGGGAGACAAGCAAGUGAUUUAAGGGAGAGUGAGAAGUUAACUCUGUAGUUGCUGGAGGAAACAGCAGUUGAACUUUGUAAAAAUGCUAAAGAAAAAAGUUCUUGGUGUCUGUGAAAUGUUUGUAAAUAAAUUCAGGCAAAGAAAUUAUUGGAUUGCAAUCAUUUGAUUUGGCUAUGAACAAUUUAGUUGAAUUAGCUGAAGAAUGUAUACAGUGUUAUGUAAUUAAAAACCUGGGCUGCCUAUGAAACAAAUACAAGAAAAUAUGGGGCAAUUCCUCUGUUUUGCCUGAAGUCAGCAAGGGUAUUUGUAUAUUUUAAGCGAUGAUUGUCUGCCUAGAAGGGUAGACCUCUGUUUUUUUUGUCUUUCAGAUAAUCAGAGAAAACUGAUGCCAGCUGAACAGCAUUCAACGUAUCAUGCAUUUACUGGCACAACAGGAAUUAUGUUUUGUGUUCUACGUCCUGUCUUGUGGUGUUUGUCUCGUGGCCAAAAUUGUUGUGUUUAAUAUUUUCAUAGGAUAGUCUAGUUAAAAUCAAAUGGAAGGGUUAAAUGCAGAUACUUGUUUUAUUCAACUUUGGAAUACAAGGUGUUUGGAUAAAUCAGGAGAAGGUGAUAUACUAAAGUCUAAUACAUUUGCUUAAGUAAGAAAAAGAAGCUUCAUUGGCCAAAUUGUUAAUUAAAGAAAUUGUUGUUAAAAUUUGCAUACCUACAGUCUUUGGAAGCAAAGACAUGAAAAGUUAACCCACUCCCCAUAUUGUACAUGGGAUCUUUCUGGCUACCUCAGAUUUCUAGCCAGAGGGCUGGGGAUGGUGGAGGCUAUUGGACUAGAGGUUGAAUUGAAUGAACUCCUCAAAGUGGGUGUUCUUGUUCUAGCUUGUUGCUCCAAAGUUCUGUAAUAAGGUUAUUUUAGUAAAAGGGUAUGUGUGGCAUAUAUUGAAUAAUAAGACUAAUGUACUGUAUAAUGACAAUGUUUAUGUCUUCAUUGUUGGGAAAAAGGUGUAUAAGUAAAAAGUGAAAGUUUCCUUUGCAGGUUAAAAGAAGCCAAGAAGGGAAGAAGGACAAAGAACAAAAUGAAUUAACUGAAAAAAAUAAAAUAAAAUAGCAAGCUCAGGCUAUAGAUAAGACACUGACUCCAUUCAAGGACACUGCUCACAGUUAAGACUUGGCUAACAACCAGGAAAAGGAGGGCUUGAAUUUGCCCACGCAGCUAUGAGAUUUGCAAAACACUGCCAGGCACUAACGAAAUGUGUUAAGUUUCUUUUCUCACAGGUAAAGAAGCGCUACCCAAAGACCCUAGCAGCCCUGCCACUCCUUGGAACCAGGAGACGGGAUUGAUGUAAAGGUCCACCAAUGAAAGACUGCUCUAGCUCCACCCUGGAAAGGCGCUUAUUAAGUCCCGCUACCUACCAACACUGCUGUGAAGUGCCAAAGACUGACUGCUUGGACCCAGGAUUCUCACUGCAAAAAGACCCCUCCACAUCGGGAGAAUUUUCCUACUGAUGAUUAGCCUAUUUCACCUUCUAGCUCAACUGUGCCUUCUGGACAGUAGGGAAAAAGUACAAGGUGAAGUGCUAGUAACCUCUCCCUUAUCAACUGACAGAUCUACUGUGCCUUUGAAUUUUUCUAGAAGAAUCAAAACCAUUACAGGGUGAUGUGCUGGUAACCUCUUCCCCCAUGGGAUGCUGCACCACGACUGUUUUGGAAAAGAAGAAGGAACACUCGCUCCACUGAAAUUGCCAAAGUCCAGGAAUUCCUGACUAGAAAGGACAUUAAGAACUGACCCUGGUGAAGAAACAAAGAAUUAUACACUGGCGGGAGGACAUUUGUGGGACCCAUGUUUGGGAAUGUGGUAUUAAUUGGAUUUUGGGGUUUAUUCUACAGGCUGCGCCCUGUGUUUUGGAUAAAUCCUUCAGCAUAUAUA